UACGUAGGGGGCAAGCGUUGUCCGGAUUUACUGGGCGUAAAGAGCGCGUAGGCGGAAGCUUAAGUGUGGCCUGAAAGCCCCCGGCUCAACCGGGGAAGGUGGCUGCAAACUGGGAUUCUUGAGGGCGAUAGAGGAGAGCGGAAUUCCUGGUGUAGCGGUGAAAUGCGUAGAUAUCUGGAGGAAUACCGGUGGCGAAGGCGGCAUCCUGGACCAUUACUGACGCUGAGGCGCGAAAGCUAGGGGAGCAAACGGG
This 253-nucleotide ribosomal RNA is filed under the name uncultured bacterium. Its description in RNAcentral is "partial 16S ribosomal RNA". It matches the Rfam family "Bacterial small subunit ribosomal RNA", at positions 524 to 776 of the family's 1533-position model. The record is from RNAcentral.